Molecule: ribosomal RNA, 497 nt
Filed under: uncultured bacterium
Lineage: Bacteria
Description: partial 16S ribosomal RNA
Rfam family: Bacterial small subunit ribosomal RNA
Source: RNAcentral
GACGAACGCUGGCGGCGUGCCUAAUACAUGCAAGUCGAACGCUGAAGAGAGGAGCUUGCUCUUCUUGGUUGAGUUGCGAACGGGUGAGUAACGCGUAGGUAACCUGCCUUGUAGCGGGGGAUAACUAUUUGAAACGAUAGCUAAUACCGCAUAACAAUGGAUGACACAUGUCAUUUAUUUGAAAGGGGCAAUUGCUCCACUACAAGAUGGACCUGCGUUGUAUUAGCUAGUAGGUGAGGUAAUGGCUCACCUAGGCGACGAUACAUAGCCGACCUGAGAGGGUGAUCGGCCACACUGGGACUGAGACACGGCCCAGACCCCUAAGGGAGGGAGCAAGAGGGAAACAUCGGAAAUGGGGGCAACCCUGGACGAGGAACGCCGGGUGAGAGAAGAAGGGUCUCGGAGCGUAAAGCUCCGUUGUAAGUCAAGAAAGGGUGUGAGGGUGGAAAGUUCACACUGUGACGGUAGCUUAACAGAAAGGGACGGCUAACUACGUG